Molecule: non-coding RNA, 265 nt
Organism: Leptonychotes weddellii (Weddell seal)
Lineage: Eukaryota; Metazoa; Chordata; Mammalia; Carnivora; Phocidae
Source: RefSeq, a predicted model, not a curated record
UUUGAAUCCCAUGGAACCCAGAAAUGAAGCUUGAUUAUUUUCAGGGAGAAGAAUGGAUCUCAAACAUGUGACUUGAAGCCACCAAGAAAGCAAAGAACACCUGCUAACUUGAAAAGGGACAAAAUGUGAGGACCUGAUUCCUCGAUCCCCACUGUGGCCAUUUCCCCCUCUGCUUUUAAUCUACAGGGUGCCUAGGUUUGAGGGGCACAUGCAGUGACAUCAGGAUGCUGCCUCUCUAGCUUUUGAAUCUGCUUCGUCAAAUUUC